GCUGGCGGCAGGCUUAAUACAUGCAAGUCGAACGGUAAGGCCGAGUGCAGCAAUGCAUGAGGUACACGAGUGGCGCACGGGUGCGUAACGCGUAUGCAACCUGCCCCCAACCGGGACAAAACAGCUGGAAACGGCUGCUAAUAUCCCAUAGCCAUCUGGGAGGGCAUCCUUCUGGAUGUAAAGAUUCAUUGGUCGGGGAUGGGCAUGCGUAUUAUUAGGUAGUUGGCGGGGUAACGGCCCACCAAGCCGACGAUGAUUAGGGGUCCUGAGAGGGUUAACCCCCACACUGGAACUGAGACACGGUCCAGACUCCUACGGGAGGCAGCAGUAGGGAAUAUUGGGCAAUGGGAGCAAUCCUGACCCAGCCAUGCCGCGUGAAGGAAGACGGCCCUAUGGGUUGUAAACUUCUUUUGCCGCAGAGUAAACCUGGUCACGUGUGGCCAGUUGAGAGUAUGCGGCGAAUAAGUAUCGGCUAACUCCGUGCCAGCAGCCGCGGUAAUACGGAGGAUACAAGCGUUAUCCGGAUUUAUUGGGUUUAAAGGGUGCGCAGGCGGACCGUUAAGUCAGGGGUGAAAAGUUGGGGCUCAACUCCAAUCGUGCCUUUGAUACUGGCG
Molecule: ribosomal RNA, 614 nt
Filed under: uncultured rumen bacterium
Lineage: Bacteria
Description: bacterial SSU rRNA
Rfam family: Bacterial small subunit ribosomal RNA
Source: RNAcentral